AAUGUCACUCGAGCAGGAUUUCACCCGGCGUGUGUUUAAUGCGGGAGAGCUUCAGACUACCAGAAGACUGCACUACGCUCCGCACAAUCAGGAAUUAGCAUAGGAACGCUGAAGAACCACACGUCUGCUGCGUCUCUCUACAGAAGAACUCCUUCAGAGGAGCGAUCUGGGCAUGAGGGUAACACCGCUACACUUGUUUAACAAUGGAAGUAUGGGGAUAAACAUUAAAACAGAUGUGGUUUACGGUUACAGUAGUUCAGCAUUUACACAAAUUAUUAUAAAAACAGAUGAAUGCAAAGUUAUAUUUAGAAAUGUCCUGGCUCUCCCAAGCUUUAUAAUGAAAGUGAAUGGCUGCUGAGAUUUUGAAGGACAAUAAAGUGCAUCUAUCCAUCAUAAAAAGCACUCCACAUAGCUCUAGGGGGUUAAUAAAGACCGUCUGAAGUGAAUCAAUCCUUGGUGUAAGACAAAUAUCCAUAUUUAUAAACUUUAUAAACUGUAACUUCCAGUCUCUGCUAACUGUUGUAUGAGAGAUUACAGUUUAUACAAGAUAUAAAUAUGAUAUAUUCUUACACAGACGCAUCAGUUCGCUUCAGAGGUUCUUUAUUAAGAUAUGUAAUAAACAAACAAUCAAGUUUAAAGUGAGAUUAAAGACAUACAUAAUUACAUUAUUUUUAAAGGCCUAUUUUCAUGACAAGAAUGGGGUAAAAUCCAUAAAAAAUAGAGUUAAUAAACACGUAAAAGGAGAUUGAUGACGGACACACCAGAAAUCAUAAAUCAGAUUAGUUUACAUAUCGGAAAAUAUUAUCAUUAGCUGCUGACAAAUUAAAUGAAAGGUGGAAAAGAUAAAUAAAUUUAUAUUUAAAUUUAAAUUUAUAUUUAUUUAUCAUGACAAGAACAGGGUCAUACGUGUCGGUUUCUAAAAACUUUAAAAUGAGUGAGUUUGUCAUUGCACUGUUUGCUGAUGUUGUGUGUUUUUCCGUUUUCCAUUUAGAGUCACUGAAUCAAACUUGAGCUUGAAUUUUGUUCCAAGAAUAGGAUAGAUCUAAUAAGUUUGAUUUACUGAGGUACACAUACGCUCUUGAUCUGUCUCUUAGCAGUGGGUGUAGAAAUGGUCUUUAGUUCUAGAUUUGUGUUUAGACAUUAAGAGCAAACUUACUCAGAAACAUCAGCAGAUCUCCAGAGACAGAGUGAUCCAUGAGCAGAUCCUGCAGAGCAGAAGAGAGAAUGAACAGCUGACAAACACCAGAUCACUGAUUCAUGAGAACCGAACACACGACUCAACUGAAUCAUUCCCAGUGAAUCAACUCUACACACGUCACCCCUGACCUUUUUACACAGUCUAUCACUCUGUAUAGAUCAAUACAAUCGUACAAUAACAAUUACUCAAAUAUUUAUUACAAUAU
Molecule: long non-coding RNA, 1403 nt
Filed under: Carassius auratus (goldfish)
Lineage: Eukaryota; Metazoa; Chordata; Actinopteri; Cypriniformes; Cyprinidae
Description: lncRNA (ENSCARG00000013508.1)
Source: RNAcentral